RNAcentral lists this long non-coding RNA (330 nucleotides) under Homo sapiens (human). RNAcentral describes it as "HSALNT0402929". The record is from RNAcentral. Lineage: Eukaryota; Metazoa; Chordata; Mammalia; Primates; Hominidae.
AAGACUCCUGCCCCUGCCACGAGAACACACCCUUUCCAGUUUGCUGGAGAAAUAUAAGAGAAGUCCAGUGAAAGAGAGCUGAGUUUCCCCAAUGAUGCCAUCAAGAUGAACUAACUACAGUUAACCAGCCAGCUGAUAGCAGAUGCAUGAGUGAGCCCAGCUGAGAGCAGGUUGUGCAAGCAUGGCACGUGCAUCUGUUUGGCUUGUGGUGAGGCCUCAGGAAGCUUACAGUCAUGGUGGAAGGCAAAGAGGGAGCCAGUACAUCACGUGAACUCGUAGAGUGAGAACUCAUUCACUACCAUGAAGACAACACCAAGCCAUUCCUGAGGU